AUUGAACGCUGGCGGCAGGCUUAACACAUGUAAGUCGAGCGGGGUGAUGGUGCUUGCACUAUCACUUAGCGGCGGACGGGUGAGUAAUGCUUGGGAAUCUGCCUAUUAGUGGGGGACAACAUCUCGAAAGGGAUGCUAAUACCGCAUACGUCCUACGGGAGAAAGCAGGGGAUCACUUGUGACCUUGCGCUAAUAGAUGAGCCUAAGUCGGAUUAGCUAGUUGGUGGGGUAAAGGCCUACCAAGGCGACGAUCUGUAGCGGGUCUGAGAGGAUGAUCCGCCACACUGGGACUGGGACACGGCCCAGACUCCUACGGGAGGCAGCAGUGGGGAAUAUUGGACAAUGGGGGGAACCCUGAUCCAGCCAUGCCGCGUGUGUGAAGAAGGCCUUAUGGUUGUAAAGCACUUUAAGCGAGGAGGAGGCUCUUUUGGUUAAUACCCAGGGAUAGUGGACGUUACUCGCAGAAUAAGCACCGGCUAACUCUGUGCCAGCCGCCGCCGUAA
RNAcentral lists this ribosomal RNA (503 nucleotides) under uncultured bacterium. Its description in RNAcentral is "partial 16S ribosomal RNA". It matches the Rfam family "Bacterial small subunit ribosomal RNA", at positions 30 to 523 of the family's 1533-position model. The record is from RNAcentral.